UACAGAGGGGGCAAGCGUUGUUCGGAAUUACUGGGCGUAAAGGGCGCGUAGGCGGCCCGCUAAGUCGAACGUGAAAUCCCCGGGCUCAACCCGGGAACUGCGUCCGAUACUGGCAGGCUUGAAUCCGGGAGAGGGAUGCGGAAUUCCAGGUGUAGCGGUGAAAUGCGUAGAUAUCUGGAGGAACACCGGUGGCGAAGGCGGCAUCCUGGACCGGUAUUGACGCUGAGGCGCGAAAGCCAGGGGAGCAAACGGG
RNAcentral lists this ribosomal RNA (253 nucleotides) under uncultured bacterium. Its description in RNAcentral is "partial 16S ribosomal RNA". It matches the Rfam family "Bacterial small subunit ribosomal RNA", at positions 524 to 776 of the family's 1533-position model. The record is from RNAcentral.